UACGUAGGUGGCAAGCGUUGUCCGGAAUUAUUGGGCGUAAAGCGCGCGCAGGCGGUUCUUUAAGUCUGAUGUGAAAGCCCACGGCUCAACCGUGGAGGGUCAUUGGAAACUGGAGAACUUGAGUACAGAAGAGGAAAGCGGAAUUCCACGUGUAGCGGUGAAAUGCGUAGAGAUGUGGAGGAACACCAGUGGCGAAGGCGGCUUUCUGGCCCGUUCUUGACGCUGAGGCGCGAAAGCUAGGGUAGCAAACGGG
This 253-nucleotide ribosomal RNA is filed under the name uncultured bacterium. RNAcentral's name for it is "partial 16S ribosomal RNA". It matches the Rfam family "Bacterial small subunit ribosomal RNA", at positions 524 to 776 of the family's 1533-position model. The record is from RNAcentral.